GUUCUCAAUGAUGUUCUUUCUUUACCAUGCUAAUGCUGAUAACAGAUGAUUAAUACUUUUAGUUUAUUAUACUGAGGGAACU
Small nucleolar RNA from Gastrolobium bilobum, 82 nucleotides. RefSeq annotates it as small nucleolar RNA snoR53Y. Lineage: Eukaryota; Viridiplantae; Streptophyta; Magnoliopsida; Fabales; Fabaceae. The transcript has a single exon. The record is from RefSeq and is a predicted model, not a curated record.